GUGGCUAUUUCUGAAGGGUGGCUAGAUGCUUCAUUCAUGAAGUCUUUGGGGGAGGACGGAAGGGUACAACAAGAAGAUGAAAAGGUGAAGCGCUACAAGGAGGAGGUCGUGACCAUAAUUCAUGAGUAUUUUCUUUCAGAUGACAUUCCUGAACUCAUCCGAAGUCUUGAAGAUCUGGGGGCACCUGAAUUUAAUCCAAUUUUCCUGAAGAAGGUGAUCACCCUUGCUAUGGACAGGAAGAAUAGAGAGAAAGAAAUGGCGUCUGUUUUGCUUUCUGCUCUUCACAUUGAGAUCUUCUCAACUGAAGAUAUUGUGAAUGGUUUCGUCAUGCUC
This 333-nucleotide long non-coding RNA is filed under the name Citrus sinensis (sweet orange). RNAcentral describes it as "long non-coding RNA (CSIN_LNC001920)". The record is from RNAcentral. Lineage: Eukaryota; Viridiplantae; Streptophyta; Magnoliopsida; Sapindales; Rutaceae.